Molecule: ribosomal RNA, 253 nt
Filed under: uncultured bacterium
Lineage: Bacteria
Description: partial 16S ribosomal RNA
Rfam family: Bacterial small subunit ribosomal RNA
Source: RNAcentral
UACAGGGGGGGCAAGCGUUGUUCGGAAUUACUGGGCGUAAAGGGUUCGUAGGUGGCCAACUAAGUCAGACGUGAAAUCCCUCAGCUUAACUGGGGAACUGCGUCUGAUACUGGAUGGCUUGAGUGUAGGAGAGGAAUGCGGAAUUCCAGGUGUAGCGGUGAAAUGCGUAGAUAUCAGGAGGAACACCGGUGGCGAAGGCGGGUCUCUGGGCAGUAACUGACGCUGAGGAGCGAAAGCGUGGGGAGCGAACAGG